This 70-nucleotide transfer RNA is filed under the name Quasipaa boulengeri (spiny-bellied frog). Its description in RNAcentral is "tRNA-Thr". It matches the Rfam family "tRNA". Rfam says of the family: Transfer RNA (tRNA) molecules are approximately 80 nucleotides in length. Their secondary structure includes four short double-helical elements and three loops (D, anti-codon, and T loops). The record is from RNAcentral. Lineage: Eukaryota; Metazoa; Chordata; Amphibia; Anura; Dicroglossidae. RNAcentral also lists the same sequence under 1 other name.
GUCCUGAUAGCUUAAAUUAAAGCACCGACCUUGUAAGCCGGAGAUUGCAGCUUAAUUCCUGCUCAAGACU